GAUGAACGCUGGCGGCGUGCCUAAUACAUGCAAGUCGAGCGAACAGAUGAGGAGCUUGCUCCUCUGACGUUAGCGGCGGACGGGUGAGUAACACGUGGAUAACCUACCUAUAAGACUGGGAUAACUUCGGGAAACCGGAGCUAAUACCGGAUAAUAUAUUGAACCGCAUGGUUCAAUAGUGAAAGACGGUUUUGCUGUCACUUAUAGAUGGAUCCGCGCCGCAUUAGCUAGUUGGUAAGGUAACGGCUUACCAAGGCAACGAUGCGUAGCCGACCUGAGAGGGUGAUCGGCCACACUGGAACUGAGACACGGUCCAGACUCCUACGGGAGGCAGCAGUAGGGAAUCUUCCGCAAUGGGCGAAAGCUUGACGGAGCAACGCCGCGUGAGUGAUGAAGGUCUUCGGAUCGUAAAACUCUGCUAUUAGGGAAGAACAAAUGUGUAAGUAACUAUGCACGUCUUGACGGUACCUAAUCAGAAAGCCACGGCUAACUACGUG
RNAcentral lists this ribosomal RNA (497 nucleotides) under uncultured bacterium. RNAcentral's name for it is "partial 16S ribosomal RNA". It matches the Rfam family "Bacterial small subunit ribosomal RNA", at positions 28 to 507 of the family's 1533-position model. The record is from RNAcentral.